GACGAACGCUGGCGGCGUGCUUAACACAUGCAAGUCGAACGUGAUUUUUGUGGAAAUUCUUUCGGGAAUGGAAAUGAAAUGAAAGUGGCGAACGGGUGAGUAACACGUGAGCAACCUACCUUACACAGGGGGAUAGCCGUUGGAAACGACGAUUAAUACCGCAUGAGACCACAGAAUCGCAUGAUAUAGGGGUCAAAGAUUUAUCGGUGUAAGAAGGGCUCGCGUCUGAUUAGCUAGUUGGAAGGGUAAAGGCCUACCAAGGCGACGAUCAGUAGCCGGUCUGAGAGGAUGAACGGCCACAUUGGAACUGAGACACGAUCCAAACUCCUACGGGAGGCAGCAGUGGGGAAUAUUGCACAAUGGGGGGAACCCUGAUGCAGCGACGCCGCGUGAGCGAAGAAGGUUUUCGAAUCGUAAAGCUCUGUCCUAUGAGAAGAUAAUGACGGUAGCAUAGGAGGAAGCCCCGGCUAAAUACGUG
Molecule: ribosomal RNA, 478 nt
Filed under: uncultured bacterium
Lineage: Bacteria
Description: partial 16S ribosomal RNA
Rfam family: Bacterial small subunit ribosomal RNA
Source: RNAcentral